AUUGAACGCUGGCGGCAUGCCUUACACAUGCAAGUCGAACGGCAGCACGGGAGCAAUCCUGGUGGCGAGUGGCGAACGGGUGAGUAAUAUAUCGGAACGUGCCCAGUCGUGGGGAUAACGUAGCGAAAGCUACGCUAAUACCGCAUACGAUCUAUGGAUGAAAGCGGGGGAUCGCAAGACCUCGCGCGAUUGGAGCGGCCGAUAUCAGAUUAGGUAGUUGGUGAGGUAAAGGCUCACCAAGCCGACGAUCUGUAGCUGGUCUGAGAGGACGACCAGCCACACUGGGACUGAGACACGGCCCAGACUCCUACGGGAGGCAGCAGUGGGGAAUUUUGGACAAUGGGCGCAAGCCUGAUCCAGCAAUGCCGCGUGCAGGAUGAAGGCCUCGGUGUAACGU
RNAcentral lists this ribosomal RNA (397 nucleotides) under uncultured bacterium. RNAcentral describes it as "bacterial SSU rRNA". It matches the Rfam family "Bacterial small subunit ribosomal RNA", at positions 30 to 431 of the family's 1533-position model. The record is from RNAcentral.